CAGCCGCCGCGGUAAUACGUAGGGGGCGAGCGUUGUCCGGAAUUACUGGGCGUAAAGGGCGUGUAGGCGGCCUGUUAAGUCAGGGGUGAAAGACCGGGGCUCAACCCCGGGGGUGCCUCUGAAACUGGCGGGCUUGAGUGCUCUAGAGGGCAGUGGAAUUCCCGGUGUAGCAGUGAAAUGCGUAGAGAUCGGGAGGAACACCAGUGGCGAAGGCGGCUGCCUGGGGAGUCACUGACGCUGAGGCGCGAAAGCUAGGGGAGCAAACAGGAUUAGAUACCCUGGUAGUCCUAGCCGUAAACGAUGAGCGCUAUGUGUGAGGGGUAUCGACCCCCCUCGUGCAGUAGCUAACGCAUUAAGCGCUCCGCCUGGGGAGUACGGCCGCAAGGUUGAAACUUAAAGGAAUUGGCGGG
Molecule: ribosomal RNA, 410 nt
Filed under: uncultured microorganism
Description: bacterial SSU rRNA
Rfam family: Bacterial small subunit ribosomal RNA
Source: RNAcentral